UUUAGAUAGGAAAAAUUAUCAAGAAUAAUUCCAUCUAUUGAACAUCUGCUGUGAAUAAUUCGUACUAUCGAUUAUUUAUGAAUAAUCCCACCUUUUCACUAUUUUUACUCGUGGCACCCCCUGGAAAAAAGUGACCGGCUUAUGCAGGUUUUCAUAUGGAUUUUAUUUCUUCUAUCCCCUUUAUUUUAUCUAUCUCCUUAGAAAUCUAUUUUCAAACCAUCAUCUUCAAAUUCCUCUUCCAUCUUCAAAUUCCAAACCAUCAUCUUCAAACCAAGAAGUAAACCAAUGUAUUUUGCUGGCUUAAUAUUGGUAUUGGUGUUCAUAUUUUCAGAAAUUAAAAAAAUGAAGAAGAUGGGUGAACAAGGUAGGUGAAGAAGAAGAAGAACCAAAAUGAAGAAAGUAGGUGAAGAAGAAGAAUAAGAAUGAAGAAAGCUAGGGUUAAGGAAUAAGAUGGAUGAACAAGAUGAAGAUAUAAAAGGGAAUGAGAAUAAUACCUGCAACAGCUUCAUGAAAACUUGCAUUAGCCGGUCACUUUUUUCCAGGGGUGCCACGAGCAAAAAUAGUUGAAAGGUGGGAUUAUUCAUAAAUAAUCGAUAGUAUGGAUUAUUCACAGCGGAUCGUCAAUAGAUGGGAUUAUUCCCGAAAAUUUUUCCUUUUAAUCAUCGCCAAUGUCUCUAAGAUAAAUUUGAUGAGAUAGAGAAAUAUAAAAAAGGUAAAUGUAAAGGAUACUCGCUGCUGAUACAAGAUAGGGUCGAAUGGAUAUUUUUUUUUUCUGAAAGGUGAGGCAAACCAUGCCUGUUCUCCUAAAGGAUGGAGUAAAGAGGAUGUGUGUAGUCAAGAAACCACCAGGCCGCAGCUGAUACCUAUAUCCAAUAGGCAUCAAAUCCUAAAUAUUCUACUUAACAUGUAGAUGUUCUAUCCAUUGAGCCACUAUCCUAUGAAUAUUCAUUUUUCGUCAUUAAUGAACAACAUUAAUGAACAACUUUUAAGAAUUGAGUUGGUGACUUUGAAUUUGUAACAUUUAAUUAUAGACAUGUAAGAAUUUAUAGAGAUAACAAAUGUUGAAAACUUUAAAGAGAUAAAUAAAAUUAAUUUUAAGCUAUAAAGUUACAA
Long non-coding RNA from Amaranthus tricolor (Joseph's coat), 1113 nucleotides. RefSeq lists it as uncharacterized. The transcript is spliced from 2 exons. Lineage: Eukaryota; Viridiplantae; Streptophyta; Magnoliopsida; Caryophyllales; Amaranthaceae. The record is from RefSeq and is a predicted model, not a curated record.